This 500-nucleotide ribosomal RNA is filed under the name uncultured bacterium. RNAcentral describes it as "partial 16S ribosomal RNA". It matches the Rfam family "Bacterial small subunit ribosomal RNA", at positions 30 to 523 of the family's 1533-position model. The record is from RNAcentral.
AUUGAACGCUGGCGGAAUGCUUUACACAUGCAAGUCGAACGGCAGCACGGACUUCGGUCUGGUGGCGAGUGGCGAACGGGUGAGUAAUGUAUCGGAACGUGCCCAGUCGUGGGGGAUAACGUAGUGAAAAUUACGCUAAUACCGCAUACGAUCUAUGGAUGAAAGCGGGGGAUAGCAAAUCCUCGCGCGAUUGGAGCGGCCGAUAUCAGAUUAGGUAGUUGGGGGGGUAAAGGCCCACCAAGCCAACGAUCUGUAGCUGGUCUGAGAGGACGAUCAGCCACACUGGAACUGAGACACGGUCCAGACUCCUACGGGAGGCAGCAGUGAGGAAUUUUGGAGCAUGGGCGAAAGCCUGAUCCAUCCAUUCCGCGUGCAGGAUGAAGGCCCUCGGGUUGUAAACUGCUUUUGUACAGAGCGAAAAUGUUUCUACUAAUACUAGGAGCUCAUGACGGUACUGUAAGAAUAAGCACCGGCUAACUACGUGCCAGCCGCCGCAGUAA